UUGGAGGGCAAAGUCUGGUGCCAGCAGCCGCGGUAAUUCCAGCUCCAAUAGCGUAUAUUAAAGUUGUUGCAGUUAAAAAGCUCGUAGUUGAAUUUCGGGAUCAAUACGUCGGUCGUGCUUUCGGGUACGUACUGGCGUCAUUGGUUUCUCCUUUCUGACGAACCAUGAUGUCAUUAAUUUGGUGUUAUGGGGAGUUAGGACUGUUACUUUGAAAAAAUUAGAGUGUUUAAAGCAGGCAUUAGCUUGAAUACAUUAGCAUGGAAUAAUGAAAUAGGACGUUCGAUCCUAUUUUGUUGGUUUCUAGGAUCAACGUAAUGAUUAAUAGGGAUAGUUGGGGGCAUUAGUAUUCAAUUGUCAGAGGUGAAAUUCUUGGAUUUAUUGAAGACUAACUACUGCGAAAGCAUUUGCCAAGGAUGUUUUCAUUAAUCAAGAACGAAAGUUAGGGGAUCGAAGACGACCAGAUACCGUCGUAGUCUUAACCAUAAACUAUGCCGACUAGGGAUCGGAUGAUGUUAAUUUUUUAAUGACUCAUUCGGCGCCUUACGGGAAAC
RNAcentral lists this ribosomal RNA (551 nucleotides) under uncultured Glomus. RNAcentral describes it as "SSU rRNA". It matches the Rfam family "Eukaryotic small subunit ribosomal RNA", at positions 548 to 1098 of the family's 1831-position model. The record is from RNAcentral. Lineage: Eukaryota; Fungi; Glomeromycota; Glomeromycetes; Glomerales; Glomeraceae.